CACCUUCCCCGGACGCACCUGCAAGCGGAAGAGCGAGACGAGCUCCCGCAGCUGCCCGGCAGACCGCCGCGGCUCCACCCUGCUUGCCGGUGCCGGGCAGGCCCUGCGGUGCCGGGAAGCGAGGCGCACUGAAGCCCGCGGCCGCGGGGACCGAGAGGGGCCCACCCUCAGGAGUCCUCGGCCCCGGGGGGGACCCUGCGCUGAGCCCACAGAGCCUAGCGAGAGCCCUGUCCCGACCACUACAAAACACCAAAGCUUUGCUCUGCUUCCUGUAUUGAUUCCCCAGCACGCCAGCUUUCUCAGACCUCCAAGCUGAAGGGUACUUCCCUCCCCUCACCCGACCACCCUGAUGACCUCAAAGUCCACGUCACAGAAAACGUUAAGGCCACUGAACACACACAGAUUCUCCAGGCCCAUCUCAACAUUUUGUGGGGGUCGAGGCCUUUAGGCAUCAUACCAGAAAGGACAGGCCUUUCAACUUUGAACCAGGAUGGUUUCAGCUUGAAGUAACAGAAAAAUCCAUCUCAAACUGACUCAUCAAUACGGAUAUUUAUUAUCUCAUAUAACAAGAAAUCUACAAGCGGGGCAGCACCAGUUCUGAUUGAUUUACUGACUAAACAACAACAUCACAGACCCAGGGUCAUUCUGACUCUUUACUGUGCCAUCAUCGGUGUGCUGGCUUCCUAAAGGGCCACUUUCAGAUAACACGGCCAGAUGCAACAACAUCAGUGGAGAUGGUGGCAUGUUUCCCUAUAUGUCUCUGUUGAAGAGCAAGAAAAUCUUUCCCGGAAGGCUUUCACAGACCUCUCCUCAGGUCUCACAUACCAGAACUGGUUUGCAUGCCCACCCCAACUUCUCACUGGCCAGUCAAAAGGAUCUUGCCCGUGAUAGUUUAGGAGUGUACCUCUGAGAUGGUAAUAGGGUCGCCUUCCCUAAUAGGUAAACACGGCUAUACAGACUUCUGUAAAGAAGGAAGAGACGUGAAUGGAUGUUGAGUAUCUGCUAUAUGUUCCUAAUGAGGUAUACUACAUAUUCCACUGUGAAUAAUGAAAAUAUUUCAUUAUAACUGCCA
This is a long non-coding RNA of Leopardus geoffroyi (Geoffroy's cat), 1072 nucleotides long. RefSeq lists it as uncharacterized. The record is from RefSeq and is a predicted model, not a curated record. Lineage: Eukaryota; Metazoa; Chordata; Mammalia; Carnivora; Felidae. The transcript is spliced from 2 exons.